UUCUGAUUAGCUAGUUGGUGGUGUAAUGGACCACCAAGGCGAUGAUCAGUAGGGGAACUGAGAGGUUGAUCCCCCACACUGGCACUGAGAUACGGGCCAGACUCCUACGGGAGGCAGCAGUAGGGAAUAUUGGUCAAUGGAUGCAAGUCUGAACCAGCCAUGCCGCGUGCAGGAAGAAGGCCUUUGGGUUGUAAACUGCUUUUGCCGGGGGAUAAAAGCCCAUGCGUGGGAACUUGAAGGUACCCGGUGAAUAAGCCACGGCUAACUACGUGCCAGCAGCCGCGGUAAUACGUAGGUGGCAAGCGUUGUCCGGAUCUAUUGGGUUUAAAGGGUGCGUAGGCGGUUAUAUAAGUCAGUGCUGAAAUAUCCCGGCUUAACCGGGAGGGUGGCAUUGAUACUGUAUGACUUGAGUAAAGUUGAGGUUGGCGGAAUUGACGGUGUAGCGGUGAAAUGCUUAGAUAUCGUCAAGAACACCGAUAGUGAAGACAGCUAACUAA
RNAcentral lists this ribosomal RNA (497 nucleotides) under uncultured Bacteroidota bacterium. Its description in RNAcentral is "bacterial SSU rRNA". It matches the Rfam family "Bacterial small subunit ribosomal RNA", at positions 235 to 732 of the family's 1533-position model. The record is from RNAcentral. Lineage: Bacteria; Pseudomonadati; Bacteroidota.